RNAcentral lists this ribosomal RNA (272 nucleotides) under Clostridioides difficile. Its description in RNAcentral is "partial 16S ribosomal RNA". It matches the Rfam family "Bacterial small subunit ribosomal RNA", at positions 1 to 280 of the family's 1533-position model. The record is from RNAcentral. Lineage: Bacteria; Bacillati; Bacillota; Clostridia; Peptostreptococcales; Peptostreptococcaceae.
UUUUAUUUGAGAGUUUGAUCCUGGCUCAGGAUGAACGCUGGCGGCGUGCCUAACACAUGCAAGUUGAGCGAUUUACUUCGGUAAAGAGCGGCGGACGGGGGAGUAACGCGUGGGUAACCUACCCUGUACACACGGAUAACAUACCGAAAGGUAUGCUAAUACGGGAUAAUAUAUUUGAGAGGCAUCUCUUAAAUAUCAAAGGUGAGCCAGUACAGGAUGGACCCGCGUCUGAUUAGCUAGUUGGUAAGGUAACGGCUUACCAAGGCGACGAU